UUAUGGCCAUAUCACGCUGAAACACCAGUUCAUGUAUGAUCAUCAAAGUUAAGCAACGUUGAGCCUGGUAAGUACCUAGACUGGUGAUCACUUGGGAAUACGAGGUGCUGUAAG
Non-coding RNA from Acanthosepion pharaonis, 114 nucleotides. The record is from the annotation of a GenBank genome assembly. NCBI's taxonomy places the organism in Eukaryota, Metazoa, Mollusca, Cephalopoda, Sepiida, Sepiidae.